CCACUGUCAGGGAUCACCAAGCGAACGCGCCCAACAUGCGCGCAAGUUGAGGAGUCCCAGAGGAAGCCACGGCUAACUUCGUGC
This 84-nucleotide ribosomal RNA is filed under the name uncultured bacterium. RNAcentral describes it as "partial 16S ribosomal RNA". The record is from RNAcentral.